UACGUAGGGGGCAAGCGUUAUCCGGAAUUACUGGGUGUAAAGGGAGCGUAGACGGUAAUGUAAGUCUGGAGUGAAAGGCGGGGGCCCAACCCCCGGACUGCUCUGGAAACUAUGUUACUAGAGUGCAGGAGAGGUAAGCGGAAUUCCUAGUGUAGCGGUGAAAUGCGUAGAUAUUAGGAGGAACACCAGUGGCGAAGGCGGCUUACUGGACUGUAACUGACGUUGAGGCUCGAAAGCGUGGGGAGUAAACAGG
RNAcentral lists this ribosomal RNA (253 nucleotides) under uncultured bacterium. Its description in RNAcentral is "partial 16S ribosomal RNA". It matches the Rfam family "Bacterial small subunit ribosomal RNA", at positions 524 to 776 of the family's 1533-position model. The record is from RNAcentral.